GGCCUCUCAAAAGUGGCUCACAUGCUUCCUUGUCCUUUCACACAAAGUGAUCACUGCUCUUUUUUUUGUUUAGAGUCAGGGUCUUGCUCUGUUGCCCAGGCUGGAGUGCAGUGGUGCAAUCAUAGCUACCUGCAGCCUCCAAUUCCUGGGCUCAAGUGAUCUUCCUGCUUCAGCCUCCCAAGCAGAUGGCACUACAGGUACACACGACCAUACCUGGCUAAUUUUUAAAAAUAUUCUGUAGAGGCAGGGUCUUGCUAUCUUUCCCAGGCUGGAACAGUGAUCAUCUUGAAUACCUUUUCUCCCCUGUAGAAACUGUUAUUCCAUCUUUCCUUUUUUCUUUGUGCCUUGUGUGUUCUUUAAGUUGUAUGCAAAAAGUGUCUCUAUUUAAACAUUUUAAAAGUUAUUAUUUAUAGCUUAUAAAUAGGUAUAACAGCAGUAUAGGUAAAUUUUUCACAAACCAGUUAGUUUCUUAAGUAAAUGGUACUCAACAUGAUAGUUAAGGCACCAAAAAGGACCUCUGUAUUUGAGUGACUAAACCUACGCAAUAAAGAGCAGCAUUUUGUACUCAAAAUAAAUUUUGUAGAAAAGGAAACAUGCUGUGUCUUCUAAAGUAAGACAACAAACACACCCAGAAAGGGGGCCCACAGCAUUCCUUUCCUCUCUUUUUCCACCGUAAUUUCCUCCUCAUAUUGCUUUUCCUUUUGUUUACCUUACUCAGGUUCUCCUGUCCCAGCCCCUGGGCUUGCCAGUGAUGCCCAGAGGAUGAUGUGCCUGGUGGCUGAGCUCUUCCAGAACUAAAGACGUGCGGAUCCCUGAGUAUCCAUAACCAUCAAAGCAUGAAGUAAUGCCUUGUAAGUGGUGUCACCACACCUCCCAGAAGAAGGAUGGAUUCCUACCAGAAGCAGUCAAACAUAGUGCCGGAUCAUCUAAGUGAAACGGAUCCCCAUGGGUGCUGCUAUUGGGAUACCAAAGGUCUGAAGUUCAUCCAAUGCAAUAGCAGAAAUAAUUACAUCUGUGAGCAUGUGAGAAGAACCCUGAGUUAGUCCCAAGUGCAAAUCACCAUCUCCAACCAAUUCCUCCACCAAUUGAUGGAUGUUGGGGAGUGGGGUACAGCAACCCCUCCAAGUCCUUCCUCCCUCUAUAUAGCCCAGGAGACUCCCCUCCCACCAGCCUGGCCCCCAGAGUGCUGACUGGCAACAAUAUUCCAAGUUAAAAUAGUUUGCUAAAUAGUUAUACAAUUAGUUUACAAUUCAAAUAUAUCAGAGGAAAAGACAGGGAAAAAAAUUCUAAGAUACAUGAAUCCCAGACCAUUGCUCUCCAAAUAUUUUCAAGUGAUUCAUCUCCUUUAUUUAAAAAAUGAAUUAACCACCAGAUGGGACACUCAUACAUUCCUGAUGGUUGUAGGAAUCAGUAGACCCUGUAUGGAAAGCAAUAGGAUAAUAUUUCAUAGGAUCAAAUUAAAAUGUUCACAGCAUUGGUUCCAGGAAAUUGGCUUCUGGAGAAUUUAUACUCCAGAAACAAUUCAACAAAAGAACACAGCUCUGUGCAUGCAGAUGCUCAUUAGCCCAUCACCUAGAGUAAGGGAAAGUGGAGAUCCCAAUGAACAACAAUGAGAUGGGUUAGCGAACUGUGACCUAUCAGCCCAAUGGACAUUUAAGCAAUCACUGAAAAGUAGAAACAUGAAGAUAUUACACAACAUGGAAACUGUUUAUGGAGUAUAUUUAGGUAAAAAGGAAAAAAAGGCAGAACUGUAUAUCUGUGGUUGGAUAUACUUUUUUUUUUUUAAUAUUAAGCACCAACCAAAAGAAGAAAGGAGGAUAGAAAAAAUAAAAUGGAAGAUGUAGGGUGGGCAGAUUAGGGCUGCGUUUGUUGCUUGCUUUCAUGUUACCAUCAUAGCGUUUUUGCCACUUACAAAGGAGGAAAAAAAUCAAUUCUGUGCCAACCCAGACAACAGAGACCUGAGUGGGGGUUGGGAAGAGAGAUUUUUCAGCACAGAAUCAGACUCCUUCUCCAAAGAGCUGUGUGGCCUUCACCUGCAAGGCGACCUCUUCCACAAGCAGAGGCCAGGACAAAAAGAGGCACCUGUGAGCGACAAAGACGGUUUCCUUGGUUUCCCUCACGGCGCCAAGCGGAGUGGCCGCCUCCCACCACAGGGCCCCCUAAUGGGCGCUUUUGUCCUGCGGGGCAGAGGGACCUCAUUAGAAGGCGCUGGUGCUAAAGGGAAAUGCAUUUCCAGAACAGGAGGUUUCAUCAUUCCUAGCGUUAGCGACAGAAUGGUGACAGAAGCUCUGUGGACGUAUUUUCCAGCGUUCAGUUCACAUCAAGGAUGGGUAUGCACUGGCGGAAAAGGUCAGCUCGCAGAAUGAUCGCCCAUCCACACAGCGUUUGGAGGUCAGACGUUCCUGAUGACUGUGAAAAUGGGGAGGUGAGAAGAGGUCGUCAAAGGGAGCAGCCUUUUAAAGCCAGGUACAGGUUAAAGCCCUGAGGCCAGAGCCUUGCCCAGGCUCCUCUAGCGUGGAGAGCUCCCGCCUUACGGUACAGCUGGCACCUGCUGGUCCCCAGGGCCCUUCGCUGCGACUGCGGCAGACAACCUUGGCAAAGAUGCUGGGGACCGCCCGGGCUGGAAAACGUCGGCCUCUGGCGCUUGAGAAAGGCCAGGCGGACUCCUGCAAUACCCUCGGGUCGUGAGAAGAAGAGGCAAGGCGUUUGGUAAAUCGAAUUGAUUGAUGCCCAGAAGCAUUUGCGGGUUGCAGAGCUCACACUUUAAAGGGGGCCUGGGCACCCGGCUUGAGGGUCACCCGAACACACUACCCACGCGGCGAGGCGAGCGUGGGGAACAAUGGGCCCACCCGGGCCCCCACCCGGCGAACAAUGGCGGCGC
RNAcentral lists this long non-coding RNA (2881 nucleotides) under Homo sapiens (human). RNAcentral describes it as "HSALNT0306443". Lineage: Eukaryota; Metazoa; Chordata; Mammalia; Primates; Hominidae. The record is from RNAcentral.